CGCGGCCUAUCAGCUUGUUGGUGAGGUAAUGGCUCACCAAGGCUUCGACGGGUAGCCGGCCUGAGAGGGCGACCGGCCACACUGGGACUGAGAUACGGCCCAGACUCCUACGGGAGGCGGCAGUGGGGAAUAUUGCACAAUGGGCGCAAGCCUGAUGCAGCAACGCCGCGUGCGGGAUGACGGCCUUCGGGUUGUAAACCGCUUUCAGUAGGGACGAAGCUAACGUGACGGUACCCACAGAAGAAGGACCGGCUAACUACGUGCCAGCAGCCGCGGUGAUACGUAGGGUCCGAGCGUUGUCCGGAAUUAUUGGGCGUAAAGGGCUUGUAGGCGGUCCGUCGCGUCAGGAGUGAAAACUCGGGGCUUAACCCCGAGCCUGCUUUUGAUACGGGCGGACUAGAGGGAUGCAGGGGAGAACGGAAUUCCUGGUGGAGCGGUGGAAUGCGCAGAUAUCAGGAGGAACACCGGUGGCGAAGGCGGUUCUCUGGGCAUCACCUGACGCUGAGAAGCGAAAGCGUGGGGAGCAAACAGGCUUAGAUACCCUGGUAGUCCACGCCGUAAACGGUGGGCACUAGGUGUGGGGGACAUUCCACGUUCUCCGUGCCGAAGCUAACGCAUUAAGUGCCCCGCCUGGGGAGUACGG
Molecule: ribosomal RNA, 643 nt
Filed under: uncultured bacterium
Lineage: Bacteria
Description: bacterial SSU rRNA
Rfam family: Bacterial small subunit ribosomal RNA
Source: RNAcentral